RNAcentral lists this ribosomal RNA (590 nucleotides) under uncultured bacterium. RNAcentral describes it as "bacterial SSU rRNA". It matches the Rfam family "Bacterial small subunit ribosomal RNA", at positions 102 to 688 of the family's 1533-position model. The record is from RNAcentral.
ACGGGUGAGUAAUACAUCGGAACGUGCCCGAUCGUGGGGGAUAACGGAGCGAAAGCUUUGCUAAUACCGCAUACGAUCUACGGAUGAAAGCAGGGGACCGCAAGGCCUUGCGCGGACGGAGCGGCCGAUGGCAGAUUAGGUAGUUGGUGGGAUAAAAGCUUACCAAGCCGACGAUCUGUAGCUGGUCUGAGAGGACGACCAGCCACACUGGGACUGAGACACGGCCCAGACUCCUACGGGAGGCAGCAGUGGGGAAUUUUGGACAAUGGGCGAAAGCCUGAUCCAGCCAUGCCGCGUGCAGGAUGAAGGCCUUCGGGUUGUAAACUGCUUUUGUACGGAACGAAAAGCCUCUUUCUAAUAAAGAGAGGUCAUGACGGUACCGUAAGAAUAAGCACCGGCUAACUACGUGCCAGCAGCCGCGGUAAUACGUAGGGUGCGAGCGUUAAUCGGAAUUACUGGGCGUAAAGCGUGCGCAGGCGGUGAUGUAAGACAGAUGUGAAAUCCCCGGGCUCAACCUGGGAACUGCAUUUGUGACUGCAUCGCUGGAGUGCGGCAGAGGGGGAUGGAAUUCCGCGUGUAGCAGUGAAAUG